CGUGCGAUUGGAUUGCACGUCUAAGCAGUAAGGCUGAGUAUUAGGCAAAUCCGGUACUCAUUAAGGCUGAGCUGUGAUGGGGAGAAGACAUUGUGUCUUCGAGUCGUUGAUUUCACACUGCCGAGAAAAGCCUCUAGAUAGAAAAUAGGUGCCCGUACCGCAAACCGACACAGGUAGUCAAGAUGAGAAUUCUAAGGUGAGCGAGCGAACUCUCGUUAAGGAACUCGGCAAAAUGACCCCGUAACUUCGGGAGAAGGGGUGCUCUUUAGGGUUAACGCCCAGAAGAGCCGCAGUGAAUAGGCCCAAGCGACUGUUUAUCAAAAACACAGGUCUCUGCUAAACCGUAAGGUGAUGUAUAGGGGCUGACGCCUGCCCGGUGCUGGAAGGUUAAGAGGAGUGGUUAGCUUCUGCGAAGCUACGAAUCGAAGCCCCAGUAAACGGCGGCCGUAACUAUAACGGUCCUAAGGUAGCGAAAUUCCUUGUCGGGUAAGUUCCGACCCGCACGAAAGGCGUAACGAUUUGGGCACUGUCUCAACGAGAGACUCGGUGAAAUCAUAGUACCUGUGAAGAUGCAGGUUACCCGCGACAGGACGGAAAGACCCCGUGGAGCUUUACUGUAGCCUGAUAUUGAAAUUCGGCACAGCUUGUACAGGAUAGGUAGGAGCCUUUGAAACGUGAGCGCUAGCUUACGUGGAGGCGCUGGUGGGAUACUACCCUAGCUGUGUUGGCUUUCUAACCCGCACCACUUAUCGUGGUGGGAGACAGUGUCAGGCGGGCAGUUUGACUGGGGCGGUCGCCUCCUAAAAGGUAACGGAGGCGCUCAAAGGUUCCCUCAGAAUGGUUGGAAAUCAUUCAUAGAGUGUAAAGGCAUAAGGGAGCUUGACUGCGAGACCUACAAGUCGAGCAGGGUCGAAAGACGGACUUAGUGAUCCGGUGGUUCCGCAUGGAAGGGCCAUCGCUCAACGGAUAAAAGCUACCCCGGGGAUAACAGGCUUAUCUCCCCCAAGAGUUCACAUCGACGGGGAGGUUUGGCACCUCGAUGUCGGCUCAUCGCAUCCUGGGGCUGUAGUCGGUCCCAAGGGUUGGGCUGUUCGCCCAUUAAAGCGGUACGCGAGCUGGGUUCAGAACGUCGUGAGACAGUUCGGUCCCUAUCCGUCGUGGGCGUAGGAAAUUUGAGAGGAGCUGUCCUUAGUACGAGAGGACCGGGAUGGACAUACCUCUGGUGUACCAGUUGUCGUGCCAACGGCAUAGCUGGGUAGCUAUGUGUGGACGGGAUAAGUGCUGAAAGCAUCUAAGCAUGAAGCCCCCCUCAAGAUGAGAUUUCCCAACUUCGGUUAUAAGAUCCCUCAAAGAUGAUGAGGUUAAUAGGUUCGAGGUGGAAGCAUGGUGACAUGUGGAGCUGACGAAUACUAA
RNAcentral lists this ribosomal RNA (1413 nucleotides) under Staphylococcus aureus. RNAcentral describes it as "partial 23S ribosomal RNA". It matches the Rfam family "Bacterial large subunit ribosomal RNA", at positions 1491 to 2904 of the family's 2925-position model. The record is from RNAcentral. Lineage: Bacteria; Bacillati; Bacillota; Bacilli; Caryophanales; Staphylococcaceae.